CAGGACGAACGCUGGCGGCGUGCCUAAUACAUGCAAGUCGAACGGUCUUUCUAUGGAAGCUUGCUCCACUGAGAAGAUAGUGGCGAACGGGUGAGUAACACGUGGGUAACCUGCCCAUAAGAGGGGGAUAACAUCCGGAAACGGGUGCUAAUACCGCAUAGUUUUCUUGAUCGCAUGAUUGAGAAAGGAAAGACGGCCUUUGUGCUGUCGCUUAUGGAUGGACCCGCGGCGUAUUAGUUAGUUGGUGAGGUAACGGCUCACCAAGACGAUGAUACGUAGCCGACCUGAGAGGGUGAUCGGCCACAUUGGGACUGAGACACGGCCCAAACUCCUACGGGAGGCAGCAGUAGGGAAUCUUCCGCAAUGGACGAAAGUCUGACGGAGCAACGCCGCGUGAGUGAAGUAAAAGGGUUUUCGGAUCGUAAAACUCUGUUGUCAGAGAAGAACAAGUUGGAGAGUAACUGCUCCAGCCUUGACGGUAUCUGACCAGAAAGCCACGGCUAACUACGUGCCAGCCGCUGC
Molecule: ribosomal RNA, 522 nt
Filed under: uncultured bacterium
Lineage: Bacteria
Description: bacterial SSU rRNA
Rfam family: Bacterial small subunit ribosomal RNA
Source: RNAcentral